CUUUUUAUCCUCCAUUUCUACUAUACAGGGAAAGUAAGUUGUUUUGAACCCUAACUCGCUUCCUAGCAUAAGCAGUGUUAAUGGCAGCGUAAAUUGGAAAAUUGAACAACCUACUUAUAGGCCCACGCCGUCUCAAUUCUGCAACAUCUGGUAAUAACUCGAAUUUUAUAUGCGAUAAUGGGGGAAGAUCAUUGAACAAGAAUGCUUAGAAUACUGUUUGUUUAGCAAUUAGUGUCUCUUUAAAUCGAUUCAACAAUUCAUAAUUGGUAAGGAUCGCCAUUUAUAACACUUUUUUGAGAUUGCAAGCAUCCUCUCUUUACAAAGCCGUUUUUAUUGUGAAUUUUAUACCAAAUAAUUUGUUUGAAAAGUUUUAGGAGUGCCUAUAUUUAGAGUAUUUAUGUAUUAUUUGAUUAUUAUGCUAAAAUUUGUGCAUAAUUUGUUGAAUAUUUGUUCAAAAUCAAUGGAAUGAUAAUAGGCUAAUUGGUGAGCUCAAUUGUAGAAUCAAAAGAAAUUGAAAAAUGUAAAAUUUGAUUUUUUGCCUAUGCGUACGCACAAGUUUAAUUUUGUGUGUAUAUGAGAUGUGUUUUGACUAAAACAGAAUUAAAUUUGCUUCUACUAUGUGUACGCAUGGUGUUAAAAAAAUAAUCGUCGGCUGAUUUUUCAAUUUGAAACUUGGAAGCCGUUUUGAAUUAAAAGUUGCCACUUUUCAUCUUGUUUUGGCACCAUUUUAUGAUGUAUUGAUUGAGGUCUAUAAAUAGGUAAUGAAUGAUCAAUACAAACACAUUAGAGACGUUGAAAAAUAUCUUGAGAUUCAUAUAUCAUUUCACAUUGAAUCAAACUAUUGAUUUAUAUGCAUAUUCAAUAUCUUUGUGUUCUUAAAAUUUUGGAAGAUUGCAUUUGUGCUUUAGUGUUAAAUCCUUUAUAAGGCUUGAUAUAAUCCUGCAAACUGUUUGUCAAAACCCUUAAGAAUCCCAUUCAAUCCCGAGAGGGGACAAAUAUAAUUUGAGGGCAGCGAUUACGCGUUUGAGCUUUCAUAUUCGUUAUGUUCUUCAUCUUUUUUAUCAUAUUUCUGGUGAUAUAAUCUCACAAAUCGUUUGCCAAAACACUUAAGCAUCCCAUUCAAUCCCGAGAGGGGACAAAUAUAGUUUGAGAACAACGAUUACGCGUUUGAGUCUUCAUAUUCGUUAUGUUCUUAAUCUUUUUUUAUCACAUUUUUGAUUGUUUGUUUCUUCUCCAUUUUCCCCAAUUGAUGUAAAUUUUCCAACAUAAUUUAUCAAUAUUUGGCAUCAUUCUGUGUACCGACUCAGCUGUUGUGGGUGACUGUGUGUUUGAAUUAGUAAUUGUAUUAGGCAUUUAAGCAUAAACAUGGGAGAUUUAAUAAACUAUGAGUAGUGCAACCUUUUUCAAUAAUCUUAAAGCUGCGCAUUAUACUUGUAUAUUCCCUUAUGAUAUUCCCUUAUGUAUUAUAAUUAAAAAUGCUUAGUGUCAUCAUUUUAGGUGCCUUGACUCGUAAGAGUUUCAUUGCAGGCUCAUAGUGCCAAUCCCAGUUGAUUUCUUUUAUAUUUUUAGAACAGAUUUGGAUUCAUUUUUCAGAUACGCUUUAAUUUUUUUAAAGAUAAUAGAUGCUAGGACAGACCAACUAGUCAAGACCAAAAGGCAAGACCAAGAGAAGGUCAAGUCCAUGCCGAGCAAAACGUGACCGAUCGUACCAGUAUCAAAUAGAGGCCAGCGCAACAGCAAGACAGUGAGAUUGGGCAGAGACAUAUUUAGCCCCAUACUUCACUAAUUAAUGUUAAGAAGACCACUACUUAAUGUUAAGAAGACAUACAUUAAUUGUCCUUAUGGAACCUCAGAAAUACAAAAUUGUUAAGGUACUCAAGAUGAAUUAAUCUGUGCUUUCAUUUGUUAGGAUUCCUGGAUGUAGUUAGAAAAUUAUCUGAGUAGAUGAUAUCGUGUAUUAUUUAUGUUCUUUUUCAUGUGUUCAUGUAUGAAUUAGAUUUAUUGCAGACAUGGCAAUUAGGUUGUCAAAUGUAUAUUGGCAAUGCCACUAUCUAAGCCCUCCAAUGCAUUUUCCUUUUGUUCUCUUUCUCUUGUUAUACAUAGAGGCAACUAUACCAAUCUUUUCACCUUAUAAGAAAUGGGCCAUAAAACUUUCUACACUAUUGCUUUCUUUUGCUAGAUCUUCUAUUUUGCACCAUUAACCAAAAGGCCUACCUGAUUAUAAGUUCCUGGAUCUCUUAGUUGCAAUUUCUAGGAUAAAUCUUGCCCUAACUUGCUUAUUUAGCUAAGUGGGGCUUUUGGGCGGCAUUCAAAAAUGACAAAAGAAUAGCUGCAUCCCUUCUUUGUUUACAUUUUCAUGACUGUUUUGUGAAUGUAAUUCUCUACUCACUCUAUACAUAUAGCCUUCUUGUCUAAUUUUUAACGAUUCAACAUUGUUUCUGAAAUUUUUUUGGAUGGCACUUAGACAUUUUACUCCUCCAAAUUGCAUAUAGUUGGACUAUAUAUGCUUCAGUAUCAUACAAGUUAUCAGUUUUUAAGGAGAAUCAAUAUUCAAAAGAUGUGAUUUUGUUUUUGAUGAAGAGAAUUAGGAAGGGAAAAAAAAUUUAGACUCGGUAAGGAGUGAAGCAGAUUUAAUGACUUUCAAGAAAUUGUGUUACCAUUGAGAAAAUGGAGAUACAAUCAAUGCCUCUUUUGUAGUCCUUCAGUAAGUUCUGCCUUAUAUUUGACAAUAAUCAUUAUGUUUCCUCUCCUUUUGUAGCUCUAAAACUACGCAACCUGAAACCAAACCUUAGAUGAAGAUUUUUAAAUCGUGUUAUACUAUGUAGCUAUAGUUUGUGCACUACUCUGCCUGGUAAAUUUUAAGGUUAAUGUGCAAUGCAUAUGCUUGGCCUAGGGACGUGAUGGCUCUGUUCUUCUUGAUGAUACUCAAGAUUUCAAGGGGGAGAAGAAUGCUUUACCCAACCGCCAUUCAGUUUGAGGAUUUGAAGUUAUUGACAGUAUAAAGGCAGACGUAGAAAGAUCCUUGACAGACUGACUCUUGCNAUGAAAAAUAUUUUCCAAUUUUUGGUCAUAUG
Molecule: long non-coding RNA, 3074 nt
Filed under: Olea europaea subsp. europaea
Lineage: Eukaryota; Viridiplantae; Streptophyta; Magnoliopsida; Lamiales; Oleaceae
Source: RNAcentral